UGCUUUACACACGCAAGUCGAACGGAGUUAAGGAGCUUGCUCUUUAAUUUAGUGGCGAACGGGUGAGUAAUAUAUCGGAACGUACCCGGCAAUGGGGGAUAACGUAGCGAAAGUUACGCUAAUACCGCAUAUGCCCUGAGGGGGAAAGCGGGGGACCGUAAGGCCUCGCGCUAUAGGAUGAGCCUGCGUUGGAUUAGCUAGUUGGUAGGGUAAAGGCCUACCAAGGCGACGAUCCAUAGCUGGUCUGAGAGGACGAUCAGCCACACUGGGACUGAGACACGGCCCAGACUCCUACGGGAGGCAGCAGUGGGGAAUAUUGGACAAUGGGCGGAAGCCUGAUCCAGCAAUACCGCGUGUGUGAAGAAGGCCUGAGGGUUGUAAAGCAC
This 386-nucleotide ribosomal RNA is filed under the name uncultured organism. RNAcentral describes it as "bacterial SSU rRNA". It matches the Rfam family "Bacterial small subunit ribosomal RNA", at positions 45 to 433 of the family's 1533-position model. The record is from RNAcentral.